RNAcentral lists this ribosomal RNA (545 nucleotides) under Gephyromantis kintana. RNAcentral describes it as "partial 16S ribosomal RNA". It matches the Rfam family "Bacterial large subunit ribosomal RNA", at positions 1851 to 2610 of the family's 2925-position model. Lineage: Eukaryota; Metazoa; Chordata; Amphibia; Anura; Mantellidae. The record is from RNAcentral.
GGUCCAGCCUGCCCGGUGAUUUAAUUUAACGGCCGCGGUACCCUAACCGCGCGAAGGUAGCAUAAUCACUUGUUCUUUAAAUGAGGACUAGUAUCAACGGCAUCACGAGGGUUCUACUGUCUCCUUUUUCUAAUCUGUUAAACUAAUCUCCCCGUGAAGAAGCGGGGAUAAACUUAUAAGACGAGAAGACCCCAUGGAGCUUUAAACUUAACCACACCCCUCCUUUUUUAUACCUUAUUACUAGAGGAACCCUGUAUAUUAAGUUUUAGGUUGGGGUGACCGCGGAGUAAAGCACAACCUCCACGACGAAUAAGACUAAACCUUUAAUCUGAGAACCACACCUCCAAGAAUUAGAAUACUAACAUUAAAUGAUCCGAUAAUCGAUCAACGGACCUAGUUACCCUGGGGAUAACAGCGCAAUCCAUUUCAAGAGCCCCUAUCGACAAAUGGGUUUACGACCUCGAUGUUGGAUCAGGAUAUCCUAGUGGUGCAGCAGCUACUAAGGGUUCGUUUGUUCAACGAUUAAAAUCCUACGUGAUCUGAGU